GACGAACGCUGGCGGCGUGCUUAACACAUGCAAGUCGAACGGAAAGGCCUGCUUUCCCUUGUGGAUUGCGGGUACUCGAGUGGCGAACGGGUGAGUAACACGUGAGUGAUCUGCCCCCAACUUGGGUAUAAGCCUGGGAAACUGGGUCUAAUUCCCGAUAGGACUGCAGGGUGGUGCCUGUGGUGGAAAACGAUUUUCUAGUGGUUGGGGAUGAGCUCGCGGCCUAUCAGCUUGUUGGUGGGGUAAUGGCCUACCAAGGCGGCGACGGGUAGCCGGCCUGGGAGGGUGGACGGCCACAUUGGGACUGAGAUACGGCCCAGACUCCUACGGGAGGCAGCAGUGGGGAAUAGUGCCAAAUGGGCGGAAGCCUGAUGCAGCGACGCCGCGUGGGGGAUGACGGCCUUCGGGUUGUAAACUCCUUUCGACCGCGAGGAAGCCACCUGGUUGGAAGGGUGGUGACGGUAGUGGUAGAAGAAGCACCGGCUAACUACGUG
RNAcentral lists this ribosomal RNA (494 nucleotides) under uncultured bacterium. RNAcentral's name for it is "partial 16S ribosomal RNA". It matches the Rfam family "Bacterial small subunit ribosomal RNA", at positions 28 to 507 of the family's 1533-position model. The record is from RNAcentral.